GACGAACCGUGCGAACGUUAUUCGGAAUCAUUGGGCUUAAAGAGCUCGUAGGCGGUCUGUCGCGUCGGAUGUGAAAACUCGGGGCUCAACCCCGGGCCUGCAUUCGAUACGGGCAGGCUAGAGUUCGGUAGGGGAGACUGGAAUUCCUGGUGUAGCGGUGAAAUGCGCAGAUAUCAGGAGGAACACCGGUGGCGAAGGCGGGUCUCUGGGCCGAUACUGACGCUGAGGAGCGAAAGCGUGGGGAGCAAACAGG
Molecule: ribosomal RNA, 253 nt
Filed under: uncultured bacterium
Lineage: Bacteria
Description: partial 16S ribosomal RNA
Rfam family: Bacterial small subunit ribosomal RNA
Source: RNAcentral